RNAcentral lists this ribosomal RNA (433 nucleotides) under uncultured bacterium. RNAcentral's name for it is "partial 16S ribosomal RNA". It matches the Rfam family "Bacterial small subunit ribosomal RNA", at positions 29 to 507 of the family's 1533-position model. The record is from RNAcentral.
AACGAACGCUGGCGGUAUGCCUAACACAUGCAAGUCGAACGACACCAUCGGGUCUAGUUGCGCACGGGUGCGGCACGCGUCGGAAGCUGCCGUUAGGUUCGGGAUAACUCUGUUACGUUUGGGCUAAUGCCGGGUGAUUUAUGCUGACAAAACAUUUAACGACCUGAUUUGGGCCGGCGUUGGUUUAGCCUGUUGGGGGGGUAAAGGCCUACCACGGCGUCGCUACAUAGCUGGUCUGAGAGAAUGAUCAGCCACACUUGGACUAAGACACGGUCCGGACUCUUACGGGAGGCAGCAGUGGGUAAUAUUGGACUACCGGCGGAAGCCUGAACCAGCUAUGCUGCGUGAGUGAUGAAGUCCUUAGAGUUGUAAAGCACUUUUAUCCGACAUGAUAAUGACAGUACCGGGAGAAUAAGCUCCGGCUAACUUCGUG